RNAcentral lists this long non-coding RNA (1016 nucleotides) under Homo sapiens (human). Its description in RNAcentral is "HSALNT0316857". Lineage: Eukaryota; Metazoa; Chordata; Mammalia; Primates; Hominidae. The record is from RNAcentral.
ACACUAUCCAAUAUGGUAACCACUAGCCACUUGUGACUACUGAGUGUCUGAAAGGUGACUGGUACAACUGGGGAACUGAAUUUUAAAUUUUCUAUAAUUUAAAUUAAAACAGCCACAUUUAUUUUAUGGCUAUUAUAUUGUAUCCUAUAUCAUAUCAUAUUUAUAUAUCAUAUCAUAUGUUACAUGGUAUAUCAUAUUACAAAUGCAGCUUUAGAUCAUUACUUUCCCUAGAACACAAAUUACAUGAAAAUCUUGAGUACAAUGACAUAGUUACUGAUUUUGCCAGGAUAAAGGAAAAAGUAAAUGUUAUUUAAAAAGCAUAUAAUUUAUGAAUUAUUAAUAUCUUCAUUGAUUAUUCAUCCAAACACCACAGGCCCAUCAACAGAAUUCCCAGUAUAUGCGAUAAUAAUUAUGUUCAGUCAUCGUUGACGUUUUGCCAGCUUUCAGUCAAUUAGAAACUUUGAACUUUACUCGUAUUUUUCUAUCUAAUCAUUAUGAAGAUAUAUUUGUCAAGGAAGGAGAAUAGAAAGCAUGUUGUUCAACUCUUUGUGAUUUAGAACUGUUAAAUAUAGUCAUAUGAUAUGCAGGUUCUGCUUGAAUUCUUGCCCUGGCUCUUGGUGAAGGAUCGGCCUGCUGGAUCUGAGUCAUCCACCUAUAAGAGGGACAACACCACACAUUGGUCGCUGCUCUCAAGCCCCUGGAAUACCACCCCACUUGGCUUCUCCUGAUUCUGCUAUCAGCUACAGGUCUGGGUUUGUGUCUCCGACAAAGAACCACCUCAAAGCCCCACAGAAAAGGACUGUACCGUAUACUUCAAACUAUUGACACCUCAAAGAACAGAGCUUGGGUUCAGGCUUCUGAUGCAUUCUGAGACACUCUCAGACCAUACCAGUGGGCUGGGUCAGGAUUUACAGAACUAUUUUCAUUUCAAGAGCAUACGGGCUCAUGAGAUUGCUAACUCAAGAUCCGGUGGAACAGAAAUACUUAUAUCGGACUGAAUAAACUGAUGAGGAAAA